This 914-nucleotide ribosomal RNA is filed under the name uncultured archaeon. RNAcentral's name for it is "bacterial SSU rRNA". It matches the Rfam family "Archaeal small subunit ribosomal RNA", at positions 1 to 922 of the family's 1478-position model. The record is from RNAcentral.
UUCCGGUUGAUCCUGCCGGACCUGACUGCUAUCGGAUUGAUACUAAGCCAUGCGAGUCUUUGUAGUAAUACAAGGCAGACGGCUCAGUAACACGUAGUCAACCUACCCUAUGGACGAGAAUAAUCUCGGGAAACUGAGCAUAAUUCUCGAUAGAUCAUAAUGCCUGGAAUGGUUUAUGGUUAAAAUGAUUCGUCGCCAUAGGAUGGGACUGCGGCCUAUCAGCUUGUUGGUGAGGUAAUGGCCCACCAAGGCGAUUACAGGUACGGGCUCUGAGAGGAGAAGCCCGGAGAUGGGUACUGAGACACGGACCCAGGCCCUAUGGGGCGCAGCAGGCGAGAAAACUUUGCAAUGUGCGAAAGCACGACAAGGUUAAUCCGAGUGAUUUCUGCUAAAGAAAUCUUUUGCCAGUCAUAAAACCACUGGUGAAUAAGGGGUGGGCAAGUUCUGAUGUCAGCCGCCGCGGUAAAACCAGCACCUCAAGUGGUCAGGAUGAUUAUUGGGCCUAAAGCAUCCGUAGCCGGCUUUGUUAGUUUUCGGUUAAAUCCAUGUGCUCAACACAUGGGCUGCCGAAAAUACUGCAUGGCUAGGGAGUGGGAGAGGUAGACGGUACUCAGUAGGAAGGGGUAAAAUCCUUUGAUCUAUUGAUGACCACCUGUGGCGAAGGCGGUCUACCAGAACACGUUCGACGGUGAGGGAUGAAAGCUGGGGGAGCAAACCGGAUUAGAUACCCGGGUAGUCCCAGCUGUAAACGAUGCAGACUCGAUGAUGCAUUGGCAUAAUAGCCAAUGCAGUGUCGCAGGGAAGCCGUUAAGUCUGCCGCCUGGGAAGUACGUACGCAAGUAUGAAACUUAAAGGAAUUGGCGGGGAGCACCACAAGGGGUGAAGCCUGCGGUUCAAUUGGAAUCAACGCCGGG